RNAcentral lists this ribosomal RNA (492 nucleotides) under uncultured bacterium. RNAcentral describes it as "partial 16S ribosomal RNA". It matches the Rfam family "Bacterial small subunit ribosomal RNA", at positions 28 to 507 of the family's 1533-position model. The record is from RNAcentral.
GAUGAACGCUAGCUACAGGCUUAACACAUGCAAGUCGAGGGGCAGCGGUAUCGAAAGCUUGCUUUCGGUAGCCGGCGACCGGCGCACGGGUGAGUAACGCGUAUCGAACCUGCCUCAUACUCAGGAAUAGCCUUGCGAAAGUAAGAUUAAUGCCCGGUGUUUUCAGAGUCCCGUAUGAGGCUUUGAACAAAGAUUUAUCGGUAUGAGAUGGCGAUGCGUCCCAUUAGCUUGUUGGCGGGGUAACGGCCCACCAAGGCAUCGAUGGGUAGGGGUUCUGAGAGGAAGGUCCCCCACAUUGGAACUGAGACACGGUCCAAACUCCUACGGGAGGCAGCAGUGAGGAAUAGUGGUCAAUGGGCGGAAGCCUGAACCAGCCAAGUAGCGUGCAGGAAGACGGCCCUCCGGGUUGUAAACUGCUUUUAGUUGGGAAUAAAACGGGGCUCGUGAGCCCCCUUGCAUGUACCAUCAGAAAAAGGACCGGCUAAUUCCGUG